UCGGUGUGUGGGCGGGCGGUGAGCCGGCGCUGGCGGCGUCGGGGGUGCCCGCCGACGCCCCCGGGGUGAUCGUCGCCGACUCCGGC
RNAcentral lists this transfer RNA (86 nucleotides) under Streptomyces tendae. RNAcentral's name for it is "tRNA-Ala". The record is from RNAcentral. Lineage: Bacteria; Bacillati; Actinomycetota; Actinomycetes; Kitasatosporales; Streptomycetaceae.